RNAcentral lists this ribosomal RNA (450 nucleotides) under uncultured bacterium. Its description in RNAcentral is "bacterial SSU rRNA". It matches the Rfam family "Bacterial small subunit ribosomal RNA", at positions 354 to 796 of the family's 1533-position model. The record is from RNAcentral.
GUGGGGAAUUUUGCGCAAUGGGGGAAACCCUGACGCAGCGACGCCGCGUGGAGGAUGAAGGCCCUUGGGUCGUAAACUCCUGUCAGGUGGGAAGAAAAGCCUUCGGUAAACAGCCGAGGGUCUUGACUGUACCACCGGAGGAAGCCCCGGCUAACUCCGUGCCAGCAGCCGCGGUAAUACGGAGGGGGCAAGCGUUGUUCGGAAUCAUUGGGCGUAAAGGGCGCGUAGGCGGCCGAACAAGUCGGGUGUGAAAUCCCUCGGCUCAACCGAGGAACUGCACUCGAUACUGUUUGGCUAGAGUCCGGGAGGGGAUGGUGGAAUUCCCAGUGUAGCGGUGAAAUGCGUAGAUAUUGGGAAGAACACCGGUGGCGAAGGCGGCCAUCUGGACCGGCACUGACGCUGAGGCGCGAAAGCCAGGGGAGCGAAUGGGAUUAGAAACCCUAGUAGUCC